GUGGGGAAUAUUGGGCAAUGGGGGAAACCCUGACCCAGCGACGCCGCGUGAGGGAAGACGGCCUUCGGGUUGUAAACCUCUUUUGUACGGGAAGAAGGAAGUGACGGUACUGUACGAAUAAGUCCCGGCUAACUACGUGCCAGCAGCCGCGGUAAUACGUAUGGGACGAGCGUUGUCCGGAAUUACUGGGCGUAAAGGGCGCGCAGGCUGUGCUGCACGUCAGCUGUGAAAUGUCUGGGCUUAACCCGGGCAUGCGGUUGAGACUGCAGUGCUGGAGUGCUGUAGAGGCAAGUGGAAUUCCCAGUGUAGCGGUGAAAUGCGUAGAUAUUGGGAAGAACACCGGUGGCGAAGGCGACUUGCUGGGCAGCAACUGACGCUGAGGCGCGAAAGCCAGGGGAGCAAACGGGAUUAGAAACCCGGGUAGUCC
RNAcentral lists this ribosomal RNA (427 nucleotides) under uncultured bacterium. RNAcentral's name for it is "partial 16S ribosomal RNA". It matches the Rfam family "Bacterial small subunit ribosomal RNA", at positions 354 to 796 of the family's 1533-position model. The record is from RNAcentral.